RNAcentral lists this ribosomal RNA (253 nucleotides) under uncultured bacterium. RNAcentral's name for it is "partial 16S ribosomal RNA". It matches the Rfam family "Bacterial small subunit ribosomal RNA", at positions 524 to 776 of the family's 1533-position model. The record is from RNAcentral.
UACGGAGGGGACUAGCGUUGUUCGGAAUUACUGGGCGUAAAGCGCACGUAGGCGGAUUUGUAAGUCAGGGGUGAAAUCCCGGGGCUCAACCUCGGAACUGCCUUUGAUACUGGCGAUCUUGAGUCCGGGAGAGGUGAGUGGAACUGCGAGUGUAGAGGUGAAAUUCGUAGAUAUUCGCAAGAACACCAGUGGCGAAGGCGGCUCACUGGCCCGGUACUGACGCUGAGGUGCGAAAGCGUGGGGAGCAAACAGG